This 271-nucleotide unclassified non-coding RNA is filed under the name uncultured fungus. RNAcentral's name for it is "sequence contains ITS1". The stretch from base 1 to 96 matches the Rfam family "5.8S ribosomal RNA", at positions 49 to 154 of the family's 154-position model. The record is from RNAcentral. Lineage: Eukaryota; Fungi.
UAAAGUGCGAUAUGUAGUGCGAUUUGCAUGAAUUGUGAGUCAUCUAAUCUUUGAACGCAACUUGCGCCUCUAUGAGGCAUGUCUGUUUGAGUGCCGUAUACUUCUGCAGCAAUGCGAAAUGACCAUGUUUAUUUGACUUGGUUUAAAAGUAGCCAGAUAAUGGUUUUGUGAAUUAACCGAGUGCUAAGCAUUCUCAGUUUAAUCCACCGAUAUCAUAAAAUUAAAACUUUUAUUUGGCCUCAAAUCAGGCAAGACUACCCGCUGAACUUAA